This is a long non-coding RNA of Gorilla gorilla gorilla (western lowland gorilla), 2291 nucleotides long. RefSeq lists it as uncharacterized. The record is from RefSeq and is a predicted model, not a curated record. The transcript has 3 exons. NCBI's taxonomy places the organism in Eukaryota, Metazoa, Chordata, Mammalia, Primates, Hominidae.
AGUCUUACUCUGUCACCCAGGCUGGAGUACAGUGGCAUGAUCUCAGCUCACUACAACCUCCACCUCCCCGGUUCAAGCGAUUCUCCCUGCCUCGGCCUCCCAAGUAGCUGAGAUUACAGGCGUGCGCCACCACGCCCGGCUAAUUUUUGCAUUUUUAAUAGAGAUGGGGGUUUCGCCACAUUGGCCAGGCUGGUCUCGAACUCCUGACCUCAGAUGUGAGCCACUCUCCUCAGCCUCCCAAAGUGUUGGGAUUACAGGCGUGAGCCACCGCGCCCGGCCCGUAUUCACUUUUAAUUAUGUUGGGUUGCGUUCAUUCCCUGUUGGGGAGCUUCAUCGUGGUAAUGAGUGCGAGGCAGAACAAUUUCUAUUUCCAGUCUAUUCUCGCCCCUCCUCUGUUGAGGAUGAAUGUCACAGAUGAACCUUCGCCUCAGAGGGAGAAGGAGGACCUUCUAAGUCCCUGCGGCAGUUGGGGGUGUGAGGAGUGAUCUUAGCUUUUAAGUGGGCUUCAAAGUGUCCUCUGCUAGUUGAACUCUUCGAAACUUCCACAAUUUGUCCCCAGACUUCCAUUAACACAGUUUCUGCUAGUAAACACAACUUAUGUGUAGCUUAAGCCACUGAGGACACCAGAGCCACAGCUCCCCUCCGCCGGCUAUCCCCAAUGGCUGACUCUUUGCAUUUCCCUAAUUCAAACAGUAGACUGCUAAGGCAUCAACCGCUCCCUUGAAAUGCUUCAAAUCGAGGAGGGCCUUGGAAACCACACGGAGUUUCCAUCUAUCAUGAACGCCUGCAGUAAGAGACUUUCUCCACUUUUCUAAGCUACAUUUACAGACCGCCACUCUGGCUGCUUUCGGUGACACAAAUCCUGCCUUCAGCCGCUGGGUCAUCAGAACCUGGAAUGUUCCAGGCUUCCGGGCAGUUCUCAUUCCUGUUUUUUCAGAGGAAAAGAUCCACUUUCAGGGACGGGGUGGUGCCUGUGGCCAGCCUGGACCAGCGCUGAGGGGAGGGACAGAUUCGGGCAAGGCACUGCGCGUCUGUGGCACACACCCUGUCGGCGGACACCGGCCAGUGCAGCGUGGCCUCCACUGCGCGGUGUUAUGACGCCCCGCGGUCCCCACUUCUUCACCAGCCUCUAACAUUCAAACCCCAGUUCUUUUGGACUUUGCAGGAGCUUUUGUGAGGAAUUGUGAACAAUGACUCAUCCAAUCUAGUGUCUACAUUGGUGUCGACAUGGUACCUAGCACCAGGAGACUGGAUGAGAUCACGAAAGACGCAAGAGUAGAUUGAAGAAAGAUUCAAGGGCCCCUGCCAGGAGAGAAACAGUAGAAUGCGAACCUGAACGGUUUAAACCGUUGCAGACUCCGCGCAGGCGCAGGAGCAGGUUAGACGCCUACGGAUGAACGCGAUGGAGCGGGCGGAAGCCGACCGAGAAGACUCAAUUUGUCUAGGCUUGGAGCUGUAGUCGUCGUCUCCCACAUGGUCUAGCGGUUAGGAUUCCUGGUUUUCACCCAGGCGGCCCGGGUUCGACUCCCGGUGUGGGAACGCCGAGGUUUUUUUAGACUGGCGUUUCGUCGAUUUAGAUUCUUCCUAACUCAGAAACGGCAUGUUUUUAGCCAAAACUUUUUCUUUUCAGUAGAGAUGAAGGAAGAAGGAUUGUCUAUUGCCACAAACUGUUUGCCGAAAGAUAGCAUCACCCGCAAUGAUGGCAGAGAAGGGACAAGAUUCCAAGCCAGCUGUGCUGCACCACUUCCUCCCCUCCCCCAGGGCAAGGCGGUUGGUCCCUCUUCUCACCCUGAAACAAAACCUAGAUGCCCUGGGCCUUGCACAGGAAAUGCUAUUUUGGUUAUAGGUGAUAUUUUUUAGUAAACCAAAAGUGUCAACCAUUCACAAAAUGCUCUUCUCUAGCAUUUGAAGACUUUUUAAGCACAUAACCUAGAUCCCGUUGAUUUUUUUCCUCUGGGUAACUUCCCUCUUGUCAGAGUGCACCUUUCCUUAUUCUCUUGCAAAUGAAAAUUGAAGGCGUUUUGUUUGUUUGUUUAUUUAUUUAUUUAUUUAUUUAUUUAUUUUUUAACUUAAAUUCUUGUAAGGUGGAGUUUUGGUCUGCUAUUCCUUAGCUGGGUGUGGAAGGCCCUGGGGAGAUUUAUCAGAAUGAAUUUCUAUAUCGAGAAUUACAAUAAUUUGAGCUCUUAUUUAAGGGGUAGCAGAAACAACUGGUACUUUCACAAGCUGGAAAGAGGCCAAUGUCAGAUAUGACAAAUACAGUAAUAAAAAGGGAAAAUAAAAUUCACUUCCUA